RNAcentral lists this ribosomal RNA (528 nucleotides) under uncultured bacterium. RNAcentral describes it as "bacterial SSU rRNA". It matches the Rfam family "Bacterial small subunit ribosomal RNA", at positions 983 to 1509 of the family's 1533-position model. The record is from RNAcentral.
GACAUCCAGAGAACUUAGCAGAGAUGCUUUGGUGCCUUCGGGAACUCUGAGACAGGUGCUGCAUGGCUGUCGUCAGCUCGUGUUGUGAAAUGGUUGGGUUAACGUCCCGCAACGAGCGCAACCCUUAUCCUUUGUUGCCAGCGGUUCGGCCGGGAACUCAAAGGAGACUGCCGGUGAUAAACCGGAGGAAGGUGGGGAUGACGUCAAGUCAUCAUGGCCCUUACGGCCAGGGCUACACACGUGCUACAAUGGCGCAUACAAAGAGAAGCGACCUCGCGAGAGCAAGCGGACCUCAUAAAGUGCGUCGUAGUCCGGAUUGGAGUCUGCAACUCGACUCCAUGAAGUCGGAAUCGCUAGUAAUCGUAGAUCAGAAUGCUACGGUGAAUACGUUCCCGGGCCUUGUACACACCGCCCGUCACACCAUGGGAGUGGGUUGCAAAAGAAGUAGGUAGCUUAACCUUCGGGAGGGCGCUUACCACUUUGUGAUUCAUGACUGGGGUGAAGUCGUAACAAGGUAAGCGUAGCGAG